GAUGAACGCUGGCGGCGUGCUUAACACAUGCAAGUCGAACGGAAAGGCCCAAGCUUGCUUGGGUACUCGAGUGGCGAACGGGUGAGUAACACGUGGGUGAUCUGCCCUGCACUUCGGGAUAAGCCUGGGAAACUGGGUCUAAUACCGGAUAGGACCACAUUUUGGAUGGUGUGGUGGAAAGUUUUUCGGUGUGGGACGAGCUCGCGGCCUAUCAGCUUGUUGGUGGGGUAAUGGCCUACCAAGGCGUCGACGGGUAGCCGGCCUGAGAGGGUGUACGGCCACAUUGGGACUGAGAUACGGCCCAGACUCCUACGGGAGGCAGCAGUGGGGAAUAUUGCACAAUGGGCGCAAGCCUGAUGCAGCGACGCCGCGUGGGGGAUGACGGCCUUCGGGUUGUAAACUCCUUUCGCUAGGGACGAAGCGCAAGUGACGGUACCUGGAGAAGAAGCACCGGCUAACUACGUG
Molecule: ribosomal RNA, 465 nt
Filed under: uncultured bacterium
Lineage: Bacteria
Description: partial 16S ribosomal RNA
Rfam family: Bacterial small subunit ribosomal RNA
Source: RNAcentral